CUGAACACAAAAUGGCGACACGUGGUUAGCAUUCGUCGCCAACGAGAAAUUGGGGUCGGCCCGAAAGCUCUAGAAUGCACCCCUCUUCCUCCCCGGGGCCUUCCACCUCCGCGAGUUUUAUGACUUAAAAAAGCCCACAGGCUGGUCUGAAGAGGAAGACAAACAUAAAGAUGAAGUGCUUAAUUCAAGGUCACACAAUGUCGGGGAUGGACCUCCAGAUUUCCUUACUGACCUGCAUUAUCUUGUGGAUACCUGAGUGAAUUCCACACCACCCAUUUUAUAGAUGAAACCACUGAGACAUGGAGCAAUUGACUGAGUAGUCACUGCCCCACCCCUGCCUGGAGCCUCACACAUGACUCGCCUCCUCUCAGUGACCACAGGUUGGUUGAGGGGUUUAACAAGGCUAAGAAGGUGAGACGUGGUCUUGUAACACAGUGGUUAAGAAUGUGACUUUGGAGCCAGCCUGCUAGGGGCUGAAUUCUGACUCAGCCAUUUACUAACUGUGUGACCUUAGGUGGAGUCUCACUCUGUAGCCCAAGCUGGAGUGGCGUGAUCUCGACUCACUGCAACCUCCGCCUCCUGGGAUCAAGUGAUUCUCGUGCCUCAGCCUCCUGAGUAGCCGGGACUACAGGUCACAGAAUUUUCCACACUCCUUGACAGAGGUGCUUAACCCUUAUCCAUCAGCAUUCUCAGACAGCACCUCCGGUUAGGGACAGUAUCUGACCGUCCGACAUCCCUGCAGCCCCCAUGUGUCACACAGACUCAGCCUCAGGUAGAUGGUUUCCGUAGAUGGUGGCUUUCUUUGGACCCUUGACAUCAACCAGUUACUAUUUGACUCUUCUGCAGAACCCCAUGUUGACCCCUGCUUUGAGGUGGCAGAGUUAACACUACUCUUCGUUAUAAGCUCUCGUCUGGGGCAACUCAGAAGAACCUCAGCAAGGCCCACAUUUUCCCGGUGAAGCCACAGAACCACAGGGAGAAACCCAUGGACUUCGCCUCUCUCUCUAGGGGACCAGAUGUGCAGAGGUAAUGAAUACCAGGGAAUCAGGAAACCACUGGAUCAGUUCUUUGAGCCACAGAACAACACUCAUCCCAGCAGCUGGGAAGCUAUCUGCAAAAGUCCAUCUGCAGAAAGGGCUUCCUGGUCUUGCGUGUGGCUGGGCCAUUUCUCUGGAUGCAGGUUUUUCAUUAUACAGUCUUCUCAAAGAACCACCUGCUCUCAACACC
This 1227-nucleotide long non-coding RNA is filed under the name Homo sapiens (human). RNAcentral's name for it is "PCBP1 antisense RNA 1". Lineage: Eukaryota; Metazoa; Chordata; Mammalia; Primates; Hominidae. The record is from RNAcentral.